UGGGGAAUAUUGCACAAUGGGCGCAAGCCUGAUGCAGCCAUGCCGCGUGUGUGAAGAAGGCCUUCGGGUUGUAAAGCACUUUCAGCGAGGAGGAAGGUGGUGAGCUUAAUACGCUCAUCAAUUGACGUUACUCGCAGAAGAAGCACCGGCUAACUCCGUGCCAGCAGCCGCGGUAAUACGGAGGGUGCAAGCGUUAAUCGGAAUUACUGGGCGUAAAGCGCACGCAGGCGGUUUGUUAAGUCAGAUGUGAAAUCCCCGGGCUCAACCUGGGAACUGCAUUUGAAACUGGCAAGCUAGAGUCUCGUAGAGGGGGGUAGAAUUCCAGGUGUAGCGGUGAAAUGCGUAGAGAUCCGGAGGAAUACCGGUGGCGAAGGCGGCCCCCUGGACGAAGACUGACGCUCAGGUGCGAAAGCGUGGGGCAGCAAACAGGAUUAGAUACCCUGGUAGUCCACGCUGUAAACGAUGUCGAUUUUGGAGGUUGUGCCCUUGAGGCGUGGCUUCCGGAGCUAACGCGUUAAAUCGACCG
Molecule: ribosomal RNA, 526 nt
Filed under: uncultured bacterium
Lineage: Bacteria
Description: partial 16S ribosomal RNA
Rfam family: Bacterial small subunit ribosomal RNA
Source: RNAcentral